Small nucleolar RNA from Microtus ochrogaster (prairie vole), 135 nucleotides. Its record names the gene SNORA70. It matches the Rfam family "Small nucleolar RNA SNORA70". From Rfam's summary of the family: snoRNA U70 seems to be exclusive to mammals and is a member of the H/ACA class of snoRNA which contain H (ANANNA) and ACA box motifs. Lineage: Eukaryota; Metazoa; Chordata; Mammalia; Rodentia; Cricetidae. The record is from Ensembl.
CCACAGAAAAACACCUUCAGGCUCUGGCGCUAGGACAGGAAGUAAGACCUGUGAAAGUUGCAAACAGCAACCUCCUUGGUAGUGUACGCAGCCUGUUACCUGUAUGGGUUGCCCUAAGGGACCUUGGAGACAAUU